UACAGAGGGUGCUAGCGUUAAUCGGAAUUACUGGGCGUAAAGCGUGUGUAGGUGGUUAGAUAAGUUAGAUGUGAAAUCCCCGGGCUUAACCUGGGCAUUGCGUUUAAGACUGUUUAGCUUGAGUACUGUAGAGGAUAGUGGAAUUUCCAGUGUAGCGGUGAAAUGCGUAGAUAUUGGAAGGAACACCAGUGGCGAAGGCGACUAUCUGGACAGAUACUGACACCGAGACACGAAAGCGUGGGGAGCAAACAGG
This 253-nucleotide ribosomal RNA is filed under the name uncultured bacterium. RNAcentral describes it as "partial 16S ribosomal RNA". It matches the Rfam family "Bacterial small subunit ribosomal RNA", at positions 524 to 776 of the family's 1533-position model. The record is from RNAcentral.